Molecule: ribosomal RNA, 497 nt
Filed under: uncultured bacterium
Lineage: Bacteria
Description: partial 16S ribosomal RNA
Rfam family: Bacterial small subunit ribosomal RNA
Source: RNAcentral
GAUGAACGCUGGCGGCGUGCCUAAUACAUGCAAGUCGAGCGAACGGACGAGAAGCUUGCUUCUCUGAUGUUAGCGGCGGACGGGUGAGUAAAACGUGGAUAACCUACCUAUAAGACUGGGAUAACUUCGGGAAACCGGAGCUAAAACCGGAUGAUAUUUUGAACCGCAUGGUUCAAAAGUAAAAUCCGGUUUUGCUGUCACUUAUCGUUGGUUCCACGCUGCAUUAGCUAGUUGGUAAGGUAACGGCUUACCAAGGCAACGAUGCAUAGCCGACCUGAGAGGGUGAUCGGCCACACUGGAACUGAGACACGGUCCAGACUCCUACGGGAGGCAGCAGUAGGGAAUCUUCCGCAAUGGGCGAAAGCCUGACGGAGCAACGCCGCGUGAGUGAUGAAGGUCUUCGGAUCGUAAAACUCUGUUAUUAGGGAAGAACAUAUGUGUAAGUAACUGUGCACAUCUUGACGGUACCUAAUCAGAAAGCCACGGCUAACUACGUG